This 115-nucleotide small nuclear RNA is filed under the name Neogobius melanostomus (round goby). RNAcentral describes it as "U5 spliceosomal RNA (ENSNMLG00000006892.1)". It matches the Rfam family "U5 spliceosomal RNA". From Rfam's summary of the family: U5 RNA is a component of both types of known spliceosome. The record is from RNAcentral. Lineage: Eukaryota; Metazoa; Chordata; Actinopteri; Gobiiformes; Gobiidae.
CACUCAUGUUUUCUCUUCAUAUCGUAUAAAUCUUUCGCCUUUUACUAAAGAUUUCCGUGGAAAGGAACAAUAAUGAGUAUUUACUAAUUUUUUGAUGCCCUGCUGACGCGGGGCU